AGGAUAGAGGCCUACCAUGGUGGUAACGGGUAACGGGGUGUUAGGGCACGACACCGGAGAGGGAGCCUGAGGAACGGCUACCACAUCCAAGGAUGGCAGCAGGCGCGCAAAUUACCCAAUCCCGACACGGGGAGGUAGUGACAAUAAAUAACAAUACGGGGUUCUUUCGGAUCUCGUAAUUGGAAUGAGUACAAUUUAAAUCUCUUAACGAGGAACAAUUGGAGGGCAAGUCUGGUGCCAGCAGCCGCGGUAAUUCCAGCUCCAAUAGCGUAUACUAAAGUUGUUGCAGUUAAAAAGCUCGUAGUUGAAUUUCGGGGUUAGUAGGUUGGUCAUGCCUCUGGUAUGUACUGAUCUCACUGAUUCCUCCUUCCUGAUGAACCGUAAUGCCAUUAAUUUGGUGUUGCGGGGAAUUUGGACUGUUACUUUGAAAAAAUUAGAGUGUUUAAAGCAAGCUAACGCUUGAAUACAUUGGCAUGGAAUAAUGAAAUAGGACGUUCGAUCCUAUUUUGUUGGUUUCUAGGAUUGACGUAAUGAUUAAUAGGGAUAGUUGGGGGCAUUAGUAUUCAAUUGUCAGAGGUGAAAUUCUUGGAUUUAUUGAAGACUAACUACUGCGAAAGCAUUUGCCAAGGAUGUUUUCAUUAAUCAAGAACGAAAGUUAGGGGAUCGAAGACGAUCAGAUACCGUCGUAGUCUUAACCAUAAACUAUGCCGACUAGGGAUCGGAUGA
Molecule: ribosomal RNA, 726 nt
Filed under: uncultured fungus
Lineage: Eukaryota; Fungi
Description: SSU rRNA
Rfam family: Eukaryotic small subunit ribosomal RNA
Source: RNAcentral